RNAcentral lists this ribosomal RNA (492 nucleotides) under uncultured bacterium. RNAcentral describes it as "partial 16S ribosomal RNA". It matches the Rfam family "Bacterial small subunit ribosomal RNA", at positions 29 to 507 of the family's 1533-position model. The record is from RNAcentral.
AGUGAACGCUGGCGGUAGGCCUAACACAUGCAAGUCGAACGGCAGCACAGUAAGAGCUUGCUCUUACGGGUGGCGAGUGGCGGACGGGUGGGGAAUACAUCGGACUCUACUUUUUCGUGGGGGAUAACGUAGGGAAACUUACGCUAAUACCGCAUACGACCUACGGGUGAAAGCAGGGGAUCUUCAGACCUUGUGCGAUUGAAUGAGCCGAUGUCGGAUUAGCUAGUGGGCGGGGUAAAGGCCCACCAAGGCGACGAUCCGUAGCUGGUCUGAGAGGAUGAUCACCCACACUGGAACUUAGACACGGUCCAGGCGCCUACGGGAGGCAGCAGUGGGGAAUAUUGGACAAUGGGCGCAAGCCUGAUCCAGCCAUACCGCGUGGGUGAAGAAGGCCUUCGGGUUGUAAAGCCCUUUUGUUGGGAAAGAAAAGCAGCAGGUUAAUACCCCGCUGUUCUGACGGUACCCAAAGAAUAAGCACCGGCUAACUUCGUG